GACGAACGCUGGCGGCGUGCUUAACACAUGCAAGUCGAACGGAAAGGCCCUGCUUUUGUGGGGUGCUCGAGUGGCGAACGGGUGAGUAACACGUGAGUAACCUGCCCUUGACUUUGGGAUAACUUCAGGAAACUGGGGCUAAUACCGGAUAGGAGCUCCUGCUGCAUGGUGGGGGUUGGAAAGUUUCGGCGGUUGGGGAUGGACUCGCGGCUUAUCAGCUUGUUGGUGGGGUAGUGGCUUACCAAGGCUUUGCCGGGUAGCCGGCCUGAGAGGGGGAACGGCCACAUUGGGACUGAGAUACGGCCCAGACUCCUACGGGAGGCAGCAGUGGGGAAUAUUGCACAAUGGGCGGAAGCCUGAGGCAGCAACGCCGCGUGCGGGAUGACGGCCUUCGGGUUGUAAACCGCUUUCGCCUGUGACGAAGCGUGAGUGACGGUAAUGGGUAAAGAAGCACCGGCUAACUACGUG
RNAcentral lists this ribosomal RNA (468 nucleotides) under uncultured bacterium. RNAcentral describes it as "partial 16S ribosomal RNA". It matches the Rfam family "Bacterial small subunit ribosomal RNA", at positions 28 to 507 of the family's 1533-position model. The record is from RNAcentral.